This 76-nucleotide transfer RNA is filed under the name Flavobacterium sp. RNAcentral describes it as "tRNA-Phe". It matches the Rfam family "tRNA". Rfam says of the family: Transfer RNA (tRNA) molecules are approximately 80 nucleotides in length. Their secondary structure includes four short double-helical elements and three loops (D, anti-codon, and T loops). Further hydrogen bonds mediate the characteristic L-shaped molecular structure. tRNAs have two regions of fundamental functional importance: the anti-codon, which is responsible for specific mRNA codon recognition, and the 3' end, to which the tRNAs corresponding amino acid is attached (by aminoacyl-tRNA synthetases). tRNAs cope with the degeneracy of the genetic code in two manners: having more than one tRNA (with a specific anti-codon) for a particular amino acid; and 'wobble' base-pairing, i.e. permitting non-standard base-pairing at the 3rd anti-codon position. The record is from RNAcentral. Lineage: Bacteria; Pseudomonadati; Bacteroidota; Flavobacteriia; Flavobacteriales; Flavobacteriaceae. RNAcentral also lists the same sequence under 1 other name.
GGUAUCUUAGCUCAGUUGGUAGAGCAAUGGACUGAAAAUCCAUGUGUCCCUGGUUCGAUUCCUGGAGAUACCACAA